GCAUAUAACUAGGCGGAGGAAAAGAAAUUAACGAAGAUUUCCUUAGUAACGGCGAGUGAAAAGGAAACAGUUCAGCGCCGAAUCCCUCGGUCUAUGGCCGAGGGACCUGUGGCGUGAAGGAGAGCCUAUCUGUCGGGUUAUAAGCUUCGGAAUAUCCCUCGAACGGGAACCCAAAGCAGGUGCGAGGCCUGUAACGAGGCGAUACCCGUCAGUUUGCGCCUCCGUAGAGUCGGGUUACUUGAGAGUGUAGCCCAAAGCGGAAGGUAAACCCCUUCUAAAGCUAAAUAUUACCACGAGACCGAUAGCGAACAAGUACCGCGAGGGAAAGUUGAAAAGAACUUUGAAGAGAGAGUUCAAAAGGGCGUGAAACCGCUUAGAAGAAAACGGACGGAGCCGUCAGGGGCCUCCGGGAAUCAGUCGAACGGUACGCGAAUAUAUCGCGCUCCAGAGCGUAAGUCUGGUCGCGGUACGAUCGAGUAGUGUCCGUACGGCGCAUUUCUCGGAGGUAAGCACUGCGACCGAUACGAUAGGCCGACGAGGCGUCGGGUUUGAGGGCGAGUCCUUUCGGGGUAUUCGUAACCAGGCCUUUCGUUUUUUUCGUCGGACCGCA
Molecule: ribosomal RNA, 610 nt
Filed under: Paraxonchium laetificans
Lineage: Eukaryota; Metazoa; Nematoda; Enoplea; Dorylaimida; Aporcelaimidae
Description: LSU rRNA
Rfam family: Eukaryotic large subunit ribosomal RNA
Source: RNAcentral